UAAUAUCUGGUGUUUAAGGCACAUUUCAUUUUGAUUGAAAGGGGAGUAGUUCGAGUCUACUGUUAUUAA
RNAcentral lists this transfer RNA (69 nucleotides) under Lepas anatifera. RNAcentral describes it as "tRNA-Gln". Lineage: Eukaryota; Metazoa; Arthropoda; Thecostraca; Lepadidae. The record is from RNAcentral.